RNAcentral lists this transfer RNA (76 nucleotides) under Oceanisphaera arctica. Its description in RNAcentral is "tRNA-Asn". It matches the Rfam family "tRNA". From Rfam's summary of the family: Transfer RNA (tRNA) molecules are approximately 80 nucleotides in length. Their secondary structure includes four short double-helical elements and three loops (D, anti-codon, and T loops). RNAcentral also lists the same sequence under 3 other names. Lineage: Bacteria; Pseudomonadati; Pseudomonadota; Gammaproteobacteria; Aeromonadales; Aeromonadaceae. The record is from RNAcentral.
UCCCCCUUAGUUCAGUUGGUAGAACGCCGGACUGUUAAUCCGUAUGUCGCUGGUUCAAGUCCAGCAGGGGGAGCCA